UGGGGAAUAUUGCACAAUGGGCGGAAGCCUGAUGCAGCGACGCCGCGUGAGGGAUGACGGCCUUCGGGUUGUAAACCUCUUUCAGCAGGGACGAAGCGAGAGUGACGGUACCUGCAGAAGAAGCGCCGGCCAACUACGUGCCAGCAGCCGCGGUAAGACGUAGGGCGCGAGCGUUGUCCGGAUUUAUUGGGCGUAAAGAGCUCGUAGGCGGCUUGUCGCGUCGUUCGUGAAAACCUGCAGCUCAACUGCAGGCUUGCGGGCGAUACGGGCAGGCUAGAGUUCGGUAGGGGAGACUGGAAUUCCUGGUGUAGCGGUGAAAUGCGCAGAUAUCAGGAGGAACACCGGUGGCGAAGGCGGGUCUCUGGGCCGAUACUGACGCUGAGGAGCGAAAGCGUGGGGAGCGAACA
RNAcentral lists this ribosomal RNA (407 nucleotides) under uncultured Actinoplanes sp. RNAcentral's name for it is "bacterial SSU rRNA". It matches the Rfam family "Bacterial small subunit ribosomal RNA", at positions 355 to 774 of the family's 1533-position model. The record is from RNAcentral. Lineage: Bacteria; Bacillati; Actinomycetota; Actinomycetes; Micromonosporales; Micromonosporaceae.